Xyrauchen texanus (razorback sucker) is the source of this 323-nucleotide long non-coding RNA. RefSeq lists it as uncharacterized. Lineage: Eukaryota; Metazoa; Chordata; Actinopteri; Cypriniformes; Catostomidae. The transcript has 3 exons. The record is from RefSeq and is a predicted model, not a curated record.
CUCACCUGUUAUCGUUGACAAAAACAAACAAAAAACUUAAAACUGACGAAAGCGUUCGUUGACGAAGAGAUUAUAACACAUUCCAAAAUGACACAACGACAAAAUUACUGAUUGUACCUUAAAGUGACGCAAUACUUUGAAUAACCACAGGAUGGUAGCAGAUCGCUUGUGUUGCCUGAGAGUGCUGCGUCAUGCCAAGCAAGUUAGAUCGUGCUCUCCAUGCAUGGUGCUUCAGGCAAAACAGGGUGGCUUUGAUCAGGCUCUUAUAUCAACGGUGGAUUCGGUGUCAGCUCACCCGGAUUCCACAGAACCCUGCAGCCCCG